AUUUUAACCGCUUUUACGUCAGUUAUCAGCAGUUUUAUGUUCUCCCCUUUUUCCUCCCACGUCCCAGGUAACCUCCAUCCUCAAUUUUAUGGUCUCCUCUUUUUACUCCCUACGUCACAGAUCCACCUAUAGAUGAACAAAUGGAUGUUUCUAUGAAUCAAACUCUCAAAAAGAUUGAUAGCUUUACUCAGCAGGUAAUCAUAUCCAUGUAAUCACAACCCGAUGACAUUGAGGAGAUUCUCUAUGGUUGCAAGAGUUCGAGACGUGAUUUCAUCCACAGGUACGUUUUCAAAAACAUACGAUUAAAGUCUCUGAAUCUUCAUCUCUCUCUCUCUCCCUUUAUUCUAAAUCACUCGUCUGAAUUUCAUCCACACAUAGGUGUUAUCGAUCAAUUUUGUGUUUAUCUGCAUGUCUAGGAUGUUUAGGGUCGAAACACUGUCAAUUCUGCAUUUUUUUGGCAAUUCUUGCAGAUGAUUCUGUAACAAUAGCCUUAUAUUAUGGGUUCAAGAAGCAAAUCCACGACGAUGUCUAAAAAGGUAAAGGAAAUUGGGAUAAUUCAAGACCCACUCUGCAAAAGAUACCCUACCAUCGCUACAUAAUGGAAGAAGAACACGAGAUUGGUAUUUGGGGGAUUCUAAUUUCUGGUCUAAUUAGAGCUACUACCACUACUCUUACUGUAUGUAUUUGUUUUAUUUGCGUUGUUAAUCAAACAAUGUCUUUCUCUUACUUGCUCCUAGGUUCUUUUUUCCAUCACUAAUUGUUUGAUUCGUUUUAGGUCAUGUAUACAAGUUUAUUUGAGUGAGUCUGCACAAUAUAUGUGUGUUUAUGCGUACUAAUUACAUCUAUUCAUGGUUUAGAUGUGUAUCAAGCACAAAUACAGUUACAAUUUUGCCCCUUCCACUGAUUUGGUUAAAGAAAUGCAGAUGUUUUCAAGGCAUUGAUUCUCUCUGUGGCAACAUGUUUAAAUAAUGCAUCAGGUCCUCGAAAGGAACACUUAGUGGUUCAGGUGCUGGGCUCAUAGUGUUGUCUUCACAAUUGGCCAGAUAAGAAGUGAUUUUUUCAGCUCUGCACACUUGAAUUUGAGACACGGCGUGCUUCAUAUUACUGGUUACUAGAUGCACUGGGUCUUUACCAGCCUUACGUAUGGGAGUAUUCACGUUUGAAUAUAACCAACACUGCGAUGUCAAAAGUUGAACCGACUAGUGAUCGAGAACUAUGUGGAUGGAUGGGAUGAUCCACGUUUGAUGACACUAGCGGGAUUGAGGCGUAGGGGUGUCACUUCUACAGCAAUAAAUGCUUUUGUUAGAGGAAUUGGGAUUACCAAAAGUGAUAGUAGUAUGAUACGUUUGGAGCGCCUUGAAUAUCAUGUACGGGAAGAACUUAAUAAAACAGCUUCUCUUGCGAUGGUUGUGCUACAUCCACUAAAGGUAGUUAUUACCAAUCUUGAACCAAGUUCAAUAAUAGAUCUUGAUGCAAAGAAAUGGCCAGAUGCCCCUGUUGAUGAUGCAUCUUCAUACUACAAGGUAGACUUCUCACUCUCUCUCUCUAUGUAUUGGUAUUAUGAUGGUGUAUUGCAAAAAUGGGUAGGUUGGGUAACAGGUCAGGUACGUUGGGGGUCGUACUAAAUGGCACCAACGGGUCAACUUCAUAAAACGGGUCAAGCAGGUAAGCUUUUUUAAAUAGGUAGAACAGUCAUUUUCUUUUUAACGGGUCGAAUGAGUUCAUUUUACCAAAGGGUGAAACAAGAUAGAUUUCUUACUUGGGUAACGCGGUUAAAACGAGUUUUCUUUUAAGUAUAGGUCAAAGCAGGUCAAGUAAGUUGGUCGAAACGGGUCAGGUAGGUUGGUUCCAUACUAAAUGGGAGGUGGUUCCGACCUUGCUUACUUCAAACUUUUAGAAAUCAAGUUCUUUUUUUAAUAUGUUUUACAUAAACAAUUCUUUGCACAUAUGUCUGAUGACAUGGGAGGUGGUUCCGACCUUGCUUAUUUCAGCUUCACUGUCAUAGGAGGUGUUGCUAAUGACAAUCGUGUAGCUUUUAACUUUUCUUCAUCUUCACAUGAAAGACACAGGGGGAGGAAGGUGAUCCUGCUUCUAAGCAACUUCAUAGUUGUGAUUGUGAGUCAGUUGGGUCUAAUGUGUGUGUAGUUUGCGGGGUGUGGGGGACUUGGGUUGACAUGUGGCGGAGGUGGGCUCCACAUUGUGUGGCUUGGCUGGGCGUGGCUUUUUUUUUGGGUGUGGGGUGGCCUGGCGUGGCUUUUUUUGGGUCAAAUAUGCCCAGCCAGUCCUAGCCAUCCACGUCAUCUCCUCCCCUGCCCCACGUCGGGCUUCAUAGCCACGCCAGCGGGCAACACCGCAACCCACGCUGACCCGACGUGGCUGAACCGACGUUGCUUGGCUUCCCCGCCCCAACCCACGCCCCACGGUCUAAGUAGUGGUCAUUUAGUUUUUUGUUAGUUUUUGGCGAAAGUCAGUUUUACUUUUAUCCGCCGACAUUUUAAGGCUAAUGGUGAAUAUUAUAUUCUAUUUUGUUUAUUGGCCGUCUGAAUGAAUAUAACAAAACCGUCUACACACUUGUGACGUUCGUUUUCCUUUUAUAAAAAGAAUGGUGUUUUUCUUUG
This is an RNA transcript of Helianthus annuus (common sunflower), 2618 nucleotides long. It is a transcript of the gene named glutamine--tRNA ligase-like, with no coding region annotated. Lineage: Eukaryota; Viridiplantae; Streptophyta; Magnoliopsida; Asterales; Asteraceae. The transcript is spliced from 7 exons. The record is from RefSeq and is a predicted model, not a curated record.